This is a long non-coding RNA of Ruditapes philippinarum (Manila clam), 462 nucleotides long. RefSeq lists it as uncharacterized. NCBI's taxonomy places the organism in Eukaryota, Metazoa, Mollusca, Bivalvia, Venerida, Veneridae. The transcript is spliced from 3 exons. The record is from RefSeq and is a predicted model, not a curated record.
UAAAACGAAAACUGCACAAUUUCAUAGAUUUGUUUUUAUUACUCGUUAGAGCAAUAUGUGUGGUAUCAAUGUGGAACGCUCUCGCUUUUGAGAAACGCCGAGAUAUAGGUAGUUAAUCAAGUGAUAAUCUCCAUAAAAAACAUGCCAAGAAGCAAGGAAUAUUUACAAUUUAAAUGAUAUAGCCCUCCAUGAUAGUGAAACUAUCGCGCUGAAAUAAUUAUCAAAAACUAGAAGUGGAACGAUUUUCGUAUGAGGAUAAAAAUUUAAAUAUGUGGGGCAGCAUUUUUGCAGUUGCGUCUUUAGGUGCUUUGUCUAUGUUCAUAAUUCAAUACAGGGAUUGGAUUGACUGGAACAAGAAGUUUAAUUACAGAGUCGCACCCGGUCCAUGUAAACAAAUCUUAACAGAAGGAGGUUCAGAAGAUGUCACUUAUAUUGGCAAUGAUUUAGUUGUGAUGUCAUCAG